Molecule: ribosomal RNA, 119 nt
Filed under: Pteropus alecto (black flying fox)
Lineage: Eukaryota; Metazoa; Chordata; Mammalia; Chiroptera; Pteropodidae
Source: RNAcentral
GUCUGUGGCCAUGCCACCCUGAACAAGCCUGAUCCCAUCUGAUCUCCGAAGCUAAGCAGGGUUGGGCCUGGUUAAUACUUGGAUGAGAGACCAACUAGGAAGACCAGGUGCUAUAGGUG